AUCUAACAAAAGAACUGUAAAGAGAGCAAGAGGCUCGAGCUGGCUUCAACCCACAGGCUGGGAUAGAGUUAAUUUUCUUCACAGCAGCUUACAUGAUGCUGUCUUUUACCUUUUUGACACUGCUGGUAACACACUAGCUUUUGCUGAGCAAUGUCUGCACAGCUUCAAGGCCUUCUCUGUUUCUUAUCCUGCCUCCUGAUGAAUGAACAGAGGGGUAUGCAACAGCUUAGGAGGGGAGACUCUAAACUAACCAAAGAAAUAUUCCAUACAGGAUUAUGCUCAGCAUUAACAUGGAAAAGAGGGAGUUCUAUGAGGGCUGGCUGCCUUUUGCUCAGGAACUGGCUGGGCAUCAGCCUAUCCAUGGCAGGUGGGAUGGAACAUCUGAAAUAAGCUGUUCAGGGAGUACUGGACUCUGACAGGCUUUAAAGCCAAAACCCUGCUGCUCAGGAGAACCUGGAAGAUUUGUCAGUUCCUGUUUCCUCAUAGCUGGUGCGUGGAGAGCAAGGAGUGAGCAGCUACACAGUGCUUAGUGACUGGCUACAGUUAAGCCACAACAUCUCUUUAGGCUGAAGAAGGAAAUGGGCCCCCACGUGCUAGCCUCCAUCAUUUCUUGGGAAAGAGCCAACAAACUGGGUUUUGGUCAGGCCUCUUAUCCUUUAUCAAAAGCUUCUCUUAAGGCAUCAGUGCAACUCACAUCAGGGAGGAGGAAAGGAUCAUUCUGGAGGAGCAGCACUCGCAGCUCAUUCUCAUCGAGACCAGACAAGCCGUGGGACUUAAGAACUUUUUUGUUCUCACCACUGAUGAUGUCAUGUGAGUAUUUACAACCUCUGUAAGAAAAUACACAGAAAUAUCAGUCUUUGCUUCUUCAGUCAAGUUGAUUUAAAGAACCUCAGAUAGAUAACGCGGGAAAUAAAAUAACACAAGAGUGGCAGGGAAGACUGCAAACACGCUCAAAGGACUUGCAGCUGGGGUGAACAAAAACAUACACAACAUUCAAACUGUUGCCUGUCCUUGUGUGUUUGACGAGUAGAAGUUCUGUGUUCAGGUAACACAGGCCUGUAAUAGGCUCAGACACAUGCUUGAGAUUCCUGCCCGGCUGCAGGAGAGACCAAAGCAAAGUAGCAAGCAUCCUUGCUUGAGUGCCUCUGCCUGGGUGCUGCUUCAGUGAUGAAGGGAAUGAAAAUAAAUUUACUCUUUGCAUUUCAUCCGUGGUUUGUGGUUGCUCCUGCACCCUGCCUGUGCCACCUCACACCAUGUGCAGCUUUGGAAAAGCCA
Pogoniulus pusillus (Red-fronted tinkerbird) is the source of this 1275-nucleotide long non-coding RNA. RefSeq lists it as uncharacterized. The transcript is spliced from 4 exons. Lineage: Eukaryota; Metazoa; Chordata; Aves; Piciformes; Lybiidae. The record is from RefSeq and is a predicted model, not a curated record.